GUUGGAAGAUUGAGGGGGGUUGCUUCUAGUACGAGAGGACCGAGGUGAACGCAUCACUGGUGUUCGGGUUGUCAUGCCAAUGGCACUGCCCGGUAGCUAAAUGCGGACGAGAUAAUCGCUGAAAGCAUCUAAGCGAGAAACUUUCCCCAAGAUGAGUCUUCCCUAUACGUAAGUAUCUAUAAGGGUUGUUAAAGACUAUGACGUUGAUAGGUGAGGUGUGUAAGUACAGCGAUGUAUUGAGCUAACUCAUACUAAUUACCCGAGAGGCUUAACCUUA
RNAcentral lists this ribosomal RNA (277 nucleotides) under Thorsellia anophelis DSM 18579. Its description in RNAcentral is "23S rRNA. Bacterial LSU". It matches the Rfam family "Bacterial large subunit ribosomal RNA", at positions 2653 to 2925 of the family's 2925-position model. Lineage: Bacteria; Pseudomonadati; Pseudomonadota; Gammaproteobacteria; Enterobacterales; Thorselliaceae. The record is from RNAcentral.